This 1257-nucleotide long non-coding RNA is filed under the name Volvox carteri. RNAcentral's name for it is "long non-coding RNA (VCAR_LNC000904)". The record is from RNAcentral. Lineage: Eukaryota; Viridiplantae; Chlorophyta; Chlorophyceae; Chlamydomonadales; Volvocaceae.
GAUAAUGAGAUUGGUUAUAGAGUGACGGUCAAAGUUGCAGAGAGUUGACCGUUAACGGUUGUAGGUAUUCGGCAACGGUUACUACGCGGGAUGACAUGGCAUGUACGGCCAGCUCCAGCUGUCGUCUUUCGCCGUGUUGAGGUUACGACAGGAAGUCGUGCACAUGCACAUGCAUUCAUGUGAUUUGCAGGGGACGCCGAAUUGCAAUCGCAACCUGACUUUGUGCGCGAGUCAGAGUAUUCCCAUCGAAAUAUAUCCCUUCCAUUAAGCACUAUCCCACUGAAGCAUUCACAACCACCACAACCUACUACAACCACAACAAGAAAAUGGCAACGUGAACGACGAGCCUUAUAAGCUGCGUCGUUCUUCUGCGCCGCGCAGAAUCUAACUCAUCGCAUACAGGACACCCGAGAGCCCCAGCAAGGAGGAUCUCCGUAACUAGUACACAGUGCACAUCUGCACAAACACUCGCAUGUCCGUUUCGCUCUACGCCGUACAGUGACCCAGUAGAUCUUCCCUAGAAGAUUACGUACACUGAGCUUGCAACCGACGAGCUUUGCAUUGAUCCACUUAUCCUGCUUAUCCUGCUGAAGAAGCUCUUGUUUUCACAACUGAGCACACUAACAAGCACAAAAUCUCCCAUGUCAACCCCUCCAACGGCAAUAACGGCGACAGCAGCUGCACAAUAUCCAACGAAAGAGCAAGGGAAAACGGUGCGGUCCAUGUGCGUGUGUGCGUGCGGAGGGGGGGGGGGAGGGGGGGAAGAGGUGCAUGUGGCAUGUAAUGUCACCCCCGCACAAGACUUUUAUGGGCCACGAAUCACACGUUAGCUCCAACUGCCCCUUAACACCGGCACCGGCACUGUCACCGGCUUCUAUCACCGGCCACAGCAACCGCCACGCACCCGACCUUGAACCCCCACUCUCGGUGACCGGCUUGCAACCACCAUCGUACCAGCACCUCGUGAUGAAAAGGUAAGCACUUAUCAACCUCCAAACAGACCCAGCAACUCCGAGAUAAGAAAACCCACGCAUUAAAACCUGCUAGGAGCUUAUCAAGAAACGCUUUCACCUGCACGCGCACAUGCGCGCAAAAAGGAGAGUCCAUCCAGCCCUUCCAGCGUUUGUAUGCUAUUCACAACGGCGAGGCGAGGCGGCAACCUCUCAACACCAUCAUUGCGCGAAAUGCGAGGACAGGAGGGGGUUGAAGUACGAGCAUCACGCUGGGCAACGCUCCCGUAUCCCUUGUCAUCAUCAG